UAAUACAGAGGCCUCGAGCGUUAGGCGGAAUCACUGGGCUUAAAGCGUGUGUAGGCGGAUGUCUAAGUGCCUUGUGAAAUCCCACGGCUUAACCGUGGAACUGCUUGGCAUACUGGAUGUCUUGAGCCACUCAGGGGCGAGCGGAACAAAUGGUGGAGCGGUGAAAUGCGUAGAUAUCAUUUGGAACACCAAAGGUGAAAACAGCUCGCUGGGAGUGUGCUGACGCUGAGACACGAAAGCCAGGGGAGCAAACGGGAUUAGAUACCCCGGUAGUCCUGGCUGUAAACGAUGUCCACUAGAUCAUGGCGGCUCUGACGCCGUCUCGGUCGAAGCAAAAGUGCUAAGUGGACCGCCUGGGAAGUACGGUCGCAAGGCUA
This 377-nucleotide ribosomal RNA is filed under the name uncultured bacterium. RNAcentral describes it as "bacterial SSU rRNA". It matches the Rfam family "Bacterial small subunit ribosomal RNA", at positions 521 to 896 of the family's 1533-position model. The record is from RNAcentral.